AUGAAACCGAUGAGAAAGAGUAGUAAGCUUUUGUACGACAUUAAAGAGAGCCGUAAAUGCUGGGAAUGCGGUAUGUAGUCUUUUGCUGAAUGGACUUUUGAGGGCAGCCUGAAAUUGUAAUAAAAGUAUGCGCUGUCGGGAACCAAACCCGUUAUCAAUCAGGCUUGUAUAAUUCAGGCAGUUGACCUGACUGUACAUGACAGAGAGGACUUUACGUCAAUUUGAGUGGUACCGCGAUAAUAAGUAUAUUAUUACCGUCUCAAGC
Molecule: non-coding RNA, 265 nt
Filed under: Anaerobium acetethylicum
Lineage: Bacteria; Bacillati; Bacillota; Clostridia; Lachnospirales; Lachnospiraceae
Description: T-box sequence
Rfam family: T-box leader
About the family: Uncharged tRNA acts as the effector for transcription antitermination of genes in the T-box leader family. T-boxes are found upstream of many aminoacyl-tRNA synthetase genes and some amino acid biosynthetic genes usually in Gram-positive bacteria. The anticodon of a specific tRNA base pairs to a specifier sequence within the T-box motif, and the NCCA acceptor tail of the tRNA base pairs to a conserved bulge in the T-box antiterminator hairpin.
Source: RNAcentral